ACAAAACGUGGAAUCAUGCAGAUUCCACCAAUAAAAAUAAUUAACUCCGGUGAAACAUUUUUCAUAAAUAAAGCUACAGACUCUACAUAUGUAGAGAAAAAUGAUGAUAUUAUGGAAACAACACAAUCCGACGGGGAGCAAAACAUACCAAUACACCAGGAAGAAAGCUGGACGGUGGCAACCUCCAGCAAAAAACGGAAGCACUAUUACUUUGAAGCACUUUUUCACUAUUCACUUAUACCUGGAGAGGACGACCGUCUAGACACGUCCGUCCUCCUCGGCUGUCCGA
RNAcentral lists this unclassified non-coding RNA (289 nucleotides) under Bombus terrestris (buff-tailed bumblebee). RNAcentral describes it as "misc RNA ENSBTSG00005037237.1". The record is from RNAcentral. Lineage: Eukaryota; Metazoa; Arthropoda; Insecta; Hymenoptera; Apidae.